GACGAACGCUGGCGGCGUGCUUAACACAUGCAAGUCGAACGGAAAGGCCCUGCUUUUGUGGGGUGCUCGAGUGGCGAACGGGUGAGUAACACGUGAGUAACCUGCCCUUGGCUUUGGGAUAACUUCAGGAAACUGGGGCUAAUACCGGAUAGGAGCUACUGCUGCCUGGUGGGGGUUGGAAAGUUUCGGCGGUUGGGGAUGGACUCGCGGCUUAUCAGCUUGUUGGUGGGGUAGUGGCUUACCAAGGCUUUGACGGGUAGCCGGCCUGAGAGGGUGACCGGCCACAUUGGGACUGAGAUACGGCCCAGACUCCUACGGGAGGCAGCAGUGGGGAAUAUUGCACAAUGGGCGGAAGCCGGAUGCAGCAACGCCGCGUGCUGGAUGACGGCCUUCGGGUGGUAAACCGCUUUCGCCUGUGACGAAGCGUGAGUGACGGUAAUGGGUAAAGAAGCACCGGCUAACUACGUG
This 468-nucleotide ribosomal RNA is filed under the name uncultured bacterium. RNAcentral describes it as "partial 16S ribosomal RNA". It matches the Rfam family "Bacterial small subunit ribosomal RNA", at positions 28 to 507 of the family's 1533-position model. The record is from RNAcentral.